CUGCAUGGCUGUCGUCAGCUCGUGUCGUGAGGAUGUGGUUAAGUCCCGCAACGAGCGCAACCCUUGCCAUUAGUUGCUACGAAAGGGCACUCUAAUGGGACUGCCGGUGACAAACCGGAGGAAGGUGGGGAUGACGUCAAGUCCUCAUGGCCCUUAUGGGUAGGGCUUCACACGUCAUACAAUGGUACAUACAGAGGGCUGCUAAAUCGUGAGAUGGAGCCAAUCCCAGAAAGUGUAUCGUAGUCCGGAUUGAAGUCUGCAACUCGACUUCAUGAAGUUGGAAUCGCUAGUAACCGCGGAUCAGCAUGUCGCGGUAAAUACGUUCCCGGGUCUU
Molecule: ribosomal RNA, 334 nt
Filed under: uncultured Oxalobacteraceae bacterium
Lineage: Bacteria; Pseudomonadati; Pseudomonadota; Betaproteobacteria; Burkholderiales; Oxalobacteraceae
Description: bacterial SSU rRNA
Rfam family: Bacterial small subunit ribosomal RNA
Source: RNAcentral